RNAcentral lists this ribosomal RNA (136 nucleotides) under uncultured eukaryote. RNAcentral's name for it is "partial 18S ribosomal RNA". It matches the Rfam family "Eukaryotic small subunit ribosomal RNA", at positions 1299 to 1458 of the family's 1831-position model. The record is from RNAcentral.
UGGUGGGGUGACUUGUCUGCUUAAUUGCGAUAACGAACGAGACCUUAACCUGCUAAAUAGCCCGCAUGCUCCGGCAGUGCGCUGGCUUCUUAGAGGGACUUUCGGCUCAAGCCGAAGGAAGUUUGAGGCAAUAACA